Molecule: transfer-messenger RNA, 345 nt
Filed under: Sphingomonas oryzagri
Lineage: Bacteria; Pseudomonadati; Pseudomonadota; Alphaproteobacteria; Sphingomonadales; Sphingomonadaceae
Rfam family: Alphaproteobacteria transfer-messenger RNA
About the family: Bacterial tmRNA, also known as 10Sa RNA or SsrA, is named for its dual tRNA and mRNA-like properties. Its role is to liberate the mRNA from a stalled ribosome. To accomplish this part of the tmRNA is used as a reading frame that ends in a translation stop signal.
Source: RNAcentral
CAGGUUGCGGCCUCAACGCUCUCCCCCUAUAUCGGUCCUGCCGUCCUUUCGGGGCCGGCUAUGGUGAUAAAUGAUAAUGAGUGAGGCGCAGCGGACCCGGGGGCGGUACCCGGCGGCUCCACCACAACCCGGACGCAAGACCGGGCUUCUGAUGGGGCCGAACUAGGAUCGACGUGUGUACGAGCUUGCUAUUUUUGCCCGGCCUGAUUGAGCCGUAAAACCGAUCAAAACCACAAGUGCCAACGACAACGAGGCGCUCGCCCUGGCCGCGUAACGAGUCCUAACGGAUAAGUUACUUCAACCAGAGCGCGGUUCGGGCCGAACCGGGCAACAGAAUCGGAUACC